CAUUAGAUGGCUGAAGGCAAGCAAUGGUCUCUUAAACCACUUUAUAGUAGAGUAGCCCCUACUUCUAAUG
Molecule: transfer RNA, 70 nt
Filed under: Curculionoidea sp. 20 KM-2017
Lineage: Eukaryota; Metazoa; Arthropoda; Insecta; Coleoptera
Description: tRNA-Lys
Source: RNAcentral